CUGAUCCAAUACCAUUGCUCCGCGCGUGCUGCAACCGUACGAUCUAUUCUCUCCCGUUCAACCUUCCUUCAUAUUCAACCAUAACACCUCAAAACCCUAACCCUAACCCUAAUCCCAAUCAUGGUAACCGAUUCCCACGACUCUCGUCGCAAGCAUCGCCGAUCCUCCUCUCCCGAAGACGCCGAUAGAUCCUCCAAGCGCCACAAGCACCGCCACCAUAGCCACCGCCAUCGCCACUCCACCAAGAAACGCGAUGAAGACACCGAAUACGAUCGCGGAACUCUUGCUAGGAUUCCUUCUCCAGCUCCUGUUUCUAACUCUGCUCCGUAUAGCUCUCUCCCUGACGACGACGUCGAGGAGGGAGAGAUUCUCGAAGAAGGUGAGAUUGGAAAAAAGCAGACAGAAUCUGAUGCAGAGCCUGGUGAAAUUGAGCUGUCAGGAAAUCGAGAUUCUCGAUCCGAUAACAAAAUUCCGGGACCUGUCACAAAAAAUUCAAAAACUGGAAAGGAGGACAGAAGUCAUGGUAAAUAUGUUAGUCCUGCAUUGGAUAUUGCAGACAAGCACCCUGGACUUCAUGAUGACUAUGAUUCUCCUAACCAGUCGAGCCCUGAGCUUAAAGGUGGAAAGAAUGCUAGAGAUUCUAAAGAUGGUUUGGGUAAUGGGUAUUUGAACCCUAAAUCAUCCAAAGAAGAUAAGAAGCAGAAUGAGGGCCCUGGACAAUUGAGAGGAAAUGAGAAACUAAAAGGUGACUAUGAAGAGAAAGAGAUACAGGCAAAUGGAAUGAAACAUAAUUACCAUACAAAUUCAUCAUCUGAUAGUGAAGGUGAAAAAUAUAGAAUGUUAAGAAGUUCUCCUUCUCAUGAUAGAUGUAGAAGUCGAUCAAGAUCAAGUGGUCAUCCUAGGGACAGAUCUCGUUCUCGUAGUAUAGCAGAUGAAUAUGCUCAUUCCAAGAAAAGGCACUCUAGGGAUCAAGGGCCCCUUCAUCAUAGUGGCAGAGAUAAGACUGACUAUGAGCAUGAUGAGGAAGGAAUGAGAGCACGUGGAAGGGAGCAUGGUCAUGGCAAUGCAGACUUGUUGGUAGAUGAUAGGAGGGGACGUAGUUCCAGGUAUCGUAGUCGAGAGUCCCAGGAUCGCAGUAGGGACAGUCAUGUGGAUAGGGAUUUAUACAGGGAAAAGAAACGAGACGAAGCAAGCAGGAAUAGAGAGGUUGAUUGGGUGCGUAAAACAGAAAAGGAACGUGAAAGGAGCUAUGAGAGGGAUAGAAGGGACACAAUAAAAGACAGAAGUAGGGAAAGGGAGGAGGAUAGGGAUAGGAGACGAGAAAAGGAGAGAGGCAGGAGCAGGGAAACAGAUUUUGAGAGGGAUAGAAGAAGGGGAAAGGAAAGGGACAGGAGUAGGGAUAAUACAAGGGGUGGUGAGAGAGGAAGAGAUUGGGAUAGUGAAAGGGAUGAUAAGAAUCGGGAAAGAGAUCACAUUAAGGAGAGGGAGAGGCGAGAUGAUAGAUAUAGGCACACUGAUAAAGACACCGCAUAUAAUAAGGAUAAGCAUUUGCGUCAUGAGGAUGGUGAAGACAUUCGAGACAGAUAUAGAAAACAUUCAAGACACGAAGAAACUGAAUAUCAUUGGGAGAGAAACAGGAAUUCUGAUUCUGUAAAAUUUUAUAAUUCUGCAAGAAGUGCCAUGGAAGAGAAUGAAAGCAAGCUAGAAAGAGGUGAGGUUGAACAAGAUUACUUAGAUGAGGAUACUCUGCAAUUACCAGAGCAAGAAGAGGAAGAUCUGAAUAGGAUUAAGGAGGAAAGUAGACGGAGAAGGGAAGCAAUAAUGGAGAAAUACAAGAAGCAGCAUCAGCAAGAAGAACAGGCAGCUGAAAAUGAAGGAAAAGACAAGGAAUCCGUGGACAUUCCUACUGAUGUUCCUGAAGCACAUGAUGGCAAGAAUGAUGGUAUUGAUGAUGUAGAAACAUCAUUUGCUGUUGGGAAAUCUACUCCUGAAAAUUUGAAUGGUGCUUCUAAGAAGAUAUCUGGUGCUGGUGGCCUGGGUGAGGGUACUCCUAAGAGUGAAAGAUCAGACGACAUGUUUUGUGAUGAUAUAUUUGGUGAGACACCAACUGGAGUUCGGAAAUCAGGAAAAGGGGAUGGUAUACUGAUUGAAAGGGUUGGCCUACAUGACAAUUGGGAUGACGCAGAGGGGUAUUACAGCUAUCGUUUUGGUGAAAUACUUGAUGGCCGAUACGAAGUCACUGCUGCACAUGGGAGGGGUGUUUUUUCAACAGUGGUUCGGGCAAAGAAUCUCAAGACUGGUAAUGGUGAGCCAGAUGAAGUUGCUAUAAAAAUCAUUCGUAAUAAUGACACCAUGUACAAGGCUGGUAUGGACGAGUUGGUCAUACUGAAGAAAUUAGUAGGUGCAGAUCCAGAUGAUAAGCGUCAUUGUGUUCGUUUCCUUUCAAGUUUUAAGUACAGGAAUCACCUUUGUUUAGUUUUUGAAUCUCUUAAUAUGAAUCUGCGUGAAGUAUUAAAGAAGUUUGGUCGCAAUAUUGGCCUUAGGCUAACAGCUGUGAGAGCAUAUGCAAAGCAACUAUUUAUUGCUCUGAAGCAUCUUCGGAACUGUGGUGUUCUUCAUUGUGAUAUAAAGCCUGAUAAUAUGUUGGUGAACGAGGCUAAAAAUGUCUUGAAGCUUUGCGACUUUGGUAAUGCUAUGUUUGCUGGUAAGAAUGAAGUCACACCAUAUCUUGUCAGUCGGUUUUAUCGGGCCCCUGAAAUAAUUCUUGGCUUGCAAUAUGAUCAUCCGUUGGAUAUUUGGUCAGUAGGCUGUUGUUUGUAUGAGCUCUAUACAGGGAAAGUUCUUUUUCCAGGUCUUACAAACAAUGACAUGCUUAGGCUUCACAUGGAAUUAAAGGGUCCUUUUCCAAAGAAGAUGCUGCGUAAGGGAGCAUUCACUGACCAACAUUUUGAUCAGGACCUGACUUUUCUUGCUACUGAAGAGGAUCCUGUGACAAAAAAGACGAUAAAGCGGAUGAUUCUCAACAUAAAACCAAAAGAUAUUGGAACAAUCAUCACAGGCUCUCCUGGAGAGGAUCCAAAGAUGUUAGCCAACUUCAAGGAUCUCAUGGAUAAAAUUUUUAUCUUGGACCCAGACAAGAGGUUGACGGUAUCACAAGCACUGAACCACCCGUUUAUCACUGGCAAGUGAACAGUGUGCUGCUUUUGACUCCCCGAAGUGAUGUUCACUGAUAUUUGUACAUAGUGAUCUGAUUUAAUUCACAUUGGGGUUCUAAUCAUUUGGCAUUAUUUAUCUGUUCCGUACUGACCAAGGAGUGUCAUCACGAAUAUUGGCUUUUUGAAGUGAAAAGAGUGAUAUCUGGUCAGGCGUACACUAUACUGGCGGUUCUUUCACUGGAAUGUACUGUUUCCUAUUGAGGCCUAUCAGUGGUCUGAGGCAUCCCUCCCGUGCCUAGAUGCUUAAAGGGAACCCAGGAGAAGGUACCUUGGUUUGUUUAUUGGGAGAUUAAUUUCACCUCUCUAGAAUAGAUUGUUAUUUCUAUUAUAAUUUAUUAUCAGCUUCAAUGGAAUAGCAUGAAUGAUUGUUUUGGUUCUGAGGAACAUCAACGGUUUUAGUUGCCUAUAAGCACAUUGAAACAUGUGAUUUUAUUUCGUUUUGAAAAUAUAGGUAUGUUAAUGAGGGGAAGGGGAGUGGUUAGUGUUGCAUCUUCAUCCAUUAAAGUGAUGCAGGUUCCAUUAAACCAAAUGCCUAAAUACCAUACCCUUUCAAAUGAUUGUAAGACUCCUAAGUGACAGAAUAACUUCCUUUAUUUUCCGCCUCUUUGAUCUUCCAAGUUUCAGCCAUUAGCUACACACAAUUUUAGUUCUUGAAUUUUACUCGAUCAUCUCUUUCAAUCUACUACCUUGUAUUCUUUUCUGAGAUUUUGUUAAAUGCAUAUCCUAAUGAAAUUGUCUUGCAUCUUAUCCAUGAUGGCUUAUCCAUGAUGGCUGCUCAUUUUGUUGGAGGAAUUUUCACUGGAGAUGUUUGGCUGUGUUCUUGAAGCAAAUUCAUAUAUCUGUGCUGUGUCUUGGUCCUUCAAUUUUGUAAGUAUAUUUAAGUCCAAUUCCUUUAUGAUCUAUGUCGGCAGUGAUGAGAUUGAUGGGUCUUCUGGUUUCCAGUUCCGUAUGAUGAAUACUCUCAAUCCUUGAUUCUCAUUUUGGAAGUUAAUAUUUCACGUGCUUGCAAUUAGGUUUGUUAAGGUGGAUGUUGGUGGUAUUUAAUAGCAUUUUCUGUAAAGUUUUUCUGUGGGUGUGUUGUUUGUUCUUGCUUAGUAUGGUGUUUUUGGGCUUGCCUUUUGCCUUUCUCUUCUAUGCUGUCCUAAGCCCCCAACAAUAACUUCACUUCAGAUCAGUCUCAUUAUUUAAGUAUAAUUUGGAAAUAGGGAUUUCCUUUUUCUA
RNA transcript from Arachis stenosperma, 4436 nucleotides. RefSeq lists it as uncharacterized. The record is from RefSeq and is a predicted model, not a curated record. The transcript has 14 exons. Lineage: Eukaryota; Viridiplantae; Streptophyta; Magnoliopsida; Fabales; Fabaceae.